Molecule: ribosomal RNA, 253 nt
Filed under: uncultured bacterium
Lineage: Bacteria
Description: partial 16S ribosomal RNA
Rfam family: Bacterial small subunit ribosomal RNA
Source: RNAcentral
UACGGAGGAGGCAAGCGUUAUCCGGAAUUAUUGGGCGUAAAGCGUCCGUAGGUGGCUAGUCAAGUCUGAGGUCAAAGACUGGGGCUUAACCCUGGAAAGGCCGUGGAAACUGACGAGCUAGAGUGCAGUAGGGGUAGAGGGAAUUCCCGGUGUAGCGGUGAAAUGCGUAGAGCUCGGGAAGAACAUCGGUGGCGAAAGCGCUCUACUGGACUGCAACUGACACUCAGGGACGAAAGCUAGGGGAGCGAAUGGG